CAGUAGCCGCGGGAAAACGUAGGGCGCAAGCGUUGUCCGGAAUUAUUGGGCGUAAAGAGCUCGUAGGCGGUCUGUCGCGUCUGGUGUGAAAUCCCGAGGCUCAACCUCGGGCUUGCAUCGGGUACGGGCAGACUAGAGUGCGGUAGGGGAGACUGGAAUUCCUGGUGUAGCGGUGGAAUGCGCAGAUAUCAGGAGGAACACCGAUGGCGAAGGCAGGUCUCUGGGCCGCAACUGACGCUGAGGAGCGAAAGCAUGGGGAGCGAACAGGAUUAGAUACCCCUGUAGUCCCUGUCUCUUAUAC
RNAcentral lists this ribosomal RNA (301 nucleotides) under uncultured bacterium. RNAcentral's name for it is "partial 16S ribosomal RNA". It matches the Rfam family "Bacterial small subunit ribosomal RNA", at positions 509 to 807 of the family's 1533-position model. The record is from RNAcentral.